RNAcentral lists this long non-coding RNA (447 nucleotides) under Mytilus galloprovincialis (Mediterranean mussel). The record is from RNAcentral. Lineage: Eukaryota; Metazoa; Mollusca; Bivalvia; Mytilida; Mytilidae.
UAAAACUUUACUUCGUAAAAAAUUACAAUGAGAACACUAACAAUAUACAGAUCUAACAUUAAGACAUAACAAACUUUACGAAAUUCUUAAUCAACAAGAAAAUGUAUAAAAUCUGUUGUUCACCACACUACGAAUAUAUAACUUCAAUCUAUCAGGCUUAAAUGAGCAAUAAUUAUAAUGUUAAACACAAUGUAGCACUGAUUUAUAAAUAUAGCUGCCCCUAUGAAUAUGGCUUAGUGCAAAUACAGAUUCAGUAUAGAACAGCUUCAUUGGAUGUGACAACUAGAACAUAUCAAAAGCUGUGUUCCCUUGAAGAAGACAUUAUUAAAUGACAGGAUUUAUAUAAAAAAAAUUUGCAAUGUUAUCAUGUAUAAAAUUCCCUUUUAUACCAUUCAUUUGUAAAUUAAAAAUAAUUUAAACUUUUCAAUUUAAAAAAAAACAUGAAUA